RNAcentral lists this ribosomal RNA (3555 nucleotides) under Triticum aestivum (bread wheat). RNAcentral describes it as "partial small subunit ribosomal RNA". Lineage: Eukaryota; Viridiplantae; Streptophyta; Magnoliopsida; Poales; Poaceae. The record is from RNAcentral.
GGGAAAACUCAAUCCAUUAAAAGAAGAUAGAGGGGGAGAAACAUCAUAAGAUCCAACUAUAAUAGCAAAGCUCGUGAUACAUCAAGAUCGUGCCAUAUCAAGAACAUGAGAGAGAGAGAGAGAGAGAUCGAACACAUAGCUACUGGUACAUACCCUCAGCCCCGAGGGUGAACUACUCCCUCCUCGUCAUGAAGAGCGCCGGGAUGAUGAAGAUGGCCACUGGUGAUGAUUCCCCCCUCCGGCAGGGUGCCGGAACAGGGUCACGAUUGAUUUUUGGUGGCUACGGAGGCUUGCGGCGGCGGAACUCCCGAUCUAGGUUUCUUUUCGGGGCUUUCUGUAUUUAUAGAAAGUUUUGGCAUCGGUCUCACAUCAGGGGGGGUCUCCGAGUCAUCCACGAGGUAGGGGGCGCGCCCAAGGUGGUAGGGCGCGCCCUCCACCCUCGUGGGUGGCUCGGGACUCUUCUGGCCCAACUAUUUUACUCCGGGGCUUCUUUUGCUCCAUAAAAAAUCAUCAAAAAUUGGCACGUCAAUUGGACUCCGUUUGGUAUUCCUUUUCUGUGAAACUCAAAAAUAAGGAAAAAACAGAAACUGGCACUGGGCUCUAGGUUAAUAGGUUAGUCCCAAAAAUCAUAUAAAAUAGCAUAUAAAACAUCCAAGAUGGACAAUAUAAUAGCAUGAAACAAUCAAAAAAUAUAGAUACGUUGGAGACGUAUCAUGCCGCCGCGGCUGGUGCCCCUGCAACCGCAAGCCCACGCCGGUUUUUUAUUCCCCACUUCGGCACUUUGCUAUGCUUAUUUCCGAUUUGAGGUACUCCCGCUAUCCUAAUUGCUAUCCAUUCCAGUACAGUACAUAUGUAGCUUACCAGUUUGCCCCCCUUUGUUGGCUGGGUUAUGGAUGAAUGUAUUAAGACUUUGUUGUGUUUUGGUGUGUGUCACCCAGCUUGGCUCUGAAAAAACAUCUCCAUCAGGGGGUGUGACAGAGGGCUGGAGGGGGCGCAUGCUAGUUGCAUCAUUUAUGUUUUUAGUCCUGUAGUCCGUACUUGAUAUGAUGUGGUUUUCUCUAAUGAAAAUUGGAAGGGGAGAACCCUUCUUUUAUAAGAAAAAUGUAGCUACAGUUUACCGGUAGGAAAGCAUGUUUUAACAAGUUUAGGAUUAAUUUUCCAAAUGCAAAGCAAAGAGGGUGAAGAGCAGCAUAGUAGGGUAAUACAGGUUCACAUAGAUGUAAUACUCUGUCACUAUCAGCUAGCUCAAGUAUGCAUGACUGUAGGAUAAUGCAGGUUCACAUAGAUGUAUAGUUAUCUGUCACCAUCAGCUAGCUCUAAUUGCAUUUUUUUGGAGCAGUUUCAUUUGCAAAUUGACCAGCUACACGGGCACACACAUACGCACACACGCACCCUAAUUGGGAUAUCAUAUUACAAUGGUAACAAAUAUAUUAGUAUUUCUUGCAUGCUGGCAGCUUAAGCAAGCACCCUGCGCUAUUAAUUUCAGCUAGAUGCAGUAAUCUGUCACAAUGGAUGUUUCCAUAUGGCUUAUUUAUCUUACAUGCUGGCUUAAGUAAGCACCCUGCACUAUUAACUUCAUGUAGAUGUAGUAAUCUGUCACUAUCAGCUAGCUCUAAUUGGUAUUGACUGGUUGCUUUGUGUGUCAGUUGCUUGAUUUGAGUGGUAUUCUCAUGGUUUUCUUCUGCGGUAUUGUAAUGUCGCAUUAUAUGUGGCACAACGCAAUAGCGAGUUCCAGGGUCACAACCAAGUAUGUAUCUGCAUUGUCUGUAUCAGAAAUACGUGUGACUCCAUCAUUUGAGAUCUGAACUUCGCUUAUGCUUAUGUCAUUCGACACACACCAGGAAUGCCUUCGCCACGUUGUCAUUCAUCUCUGAGACGUUUCUCUUUAUCUAUGUUGGCAUUGAUGCAUUGGAAUAGAGAAGUGGAAGAUUGAUAGUGAAACAUGUAUGCAUGCUCUCUAUCUGCUUCUUUCCAUGUUUGUAGUAACAUAUUUGUUGUUCAAAUCCACAGAUAGUUUUGUUUUAUAACGCAUUUUCUGUACUAUGCAGCCCAAUGAAAUCUAUUUUGGUGGUAUUUUGGCGUUGGUGCUGGUUGCAAGAGCUGCAUUUGUUUUCCCACUAUCUUAUCUCUCCAAUUUGACCAAAAGAACUCCAGGCGAGAAGAUCUCUUAGGCAGCAAGUGUGUGUCUUAUUUAGAAAUUUCUUAUGUGUGUUAUGUCCUUUCAAGACUAUACUCUUUUUACUUACAUGAUGUGGGUUCUUCAGAUUAUUAUUGGUGGGUCUCAUGAGAGGUGCCGUGUCAAUUGCAUUGGCCUACAAUAAGGUAAAGUAUUGUGUUUGAUCUAUUCCAUAUGUGCUUUGGGUGUAGUACACGAUGUUUUCUAGUCUUGGUCUGUUAUCAUACUUAAGGACGAGUUUAGGUAGUGGCCGGCUGCUCGCUGGCCUUCCCGAGCGGCCGGCCUAAAAUAGAAAUUUUUUGUCCUAAUCUAUACUUCCAACUUUAUUGGAGGGUCAAACUAUCUCAAAAUUUAACUAAAUUUGUGUAAAAAUAUAUCAAUGUUUGUGAAAUCAAAUAGGUAUAUGAUGAAAGUAUAUUUUAUCACGAAUCUAAUGCUACUAAUUUGAUGGCAUAAAUUUUGAUGUAUUAUUAUAUAAACACGGUCAAACAUAAAAAAGUUUGACUUUCUAAGAAAGUUGGAAGUACACUCUUUAAAGAAUGAAGGGAGUAAAGGGUAAUAAGUUGUCCCUUUUAAUUAAUAUAAAAAAACAAUUUUAAUCCAUAUAUUUGAAAAGGUACAUGUAACAGUAAAGUAUUACGAAAACACCCAUGUAAACACGUGUGAACAUAUUUAAUUUGAGUUUUCAAAAUUUUAAAAGUUAUAACUUUUAAACCGCGCAUAGGAAUUAAGAUCCGUUUUCACCGUUGGAACCCUGGCGGCGUGCUCUUCGAAACUAAAUCUCACAUGGGUAUGUUUUGACAAACUUUUUGUGUGCAAUUUAGUCUCCAUUUGGUGCAACUGUUUAGUCGUCGAUGUGCAAUUAGCUGACAGUCGAUGUGCAACUUUUUUCUGUAAAUGUGGACAUGCAGUUUUCACUAAUGGCACCAUCCCAUACUACUCUCUAACAGUGAAAUGUGCAAUUUCGUCUGUUGUCUCGGUGCCUUGGCCAACUACCAGGUAGUCGCCGGGCGUGAGUAUUACAAAAGCACAUGUGCGACUAAGCCGAUGAGAUUGUGCAACUCCGCGGCCAGGCGCGAGCACUCCCACAACAAUUCGUGUGCGACUAUGCGGACGAGAUUGUGCGACUAUGUGGCUAUGCAUAUGCGACUAUGCCAACGAGUGUGCAACUCCGCGGCCGGGCGUGAGCACCUCCCACAGCAAUUCAUGUGCGACUAUGCGGACGAGAUUGUGCGACUCUGUGGCCAUGCAUGUGCGACUAUGACGACGUGAGUGUGCAACUCUGCGGCCAGGCGUGAGCACCUCCCACAACAAUUCGUGUGCAUCUAUCCAGGCGAGAUUGUGCAACUCUGUGACCAUGCAUGUGCGACUAUGCUGAC